CGGCGUGCUUAACACAUGCAAGUCGAACGUGAUUUUUGUGGAAAUUCUUUCGGGAAUGGAAAUGAAAUGAAAGUGGCGAACGGGUGAGUAACACGUGAGCAACCUACCUUACACAGGGGGAUAGCCGUUGGAAACGACGAUUAAUACCGCAUGAGACCACAGAAUCGCAUGAUAUAGGGGUCAAAGAUUUAUCGGUGUAAGAAGGGCUCGCGUCUGAUUAGCUAGUUGGAAGGGUAAAGGCCUACCAAGGCGACGAUCAGUAGCCGGUCUGAGAGGAUGAACGGCCACAUUGGAACUGAGACACGGUCCAAACUCCUACGGGAGGCAGCAGUGGGGAAUAUUGCACAAAUGGGGGGAAACCCCUGAUGCAAGCGAACGCCCGCGUGAAG
Molecule: ribosomal RNA, 389 nt
Filed under: Parvimonas micra
Lineage: Bacteria; Bacillati; Bacillota; Tissierellia; Tissierellales; Peptoniphilaceae
Description: bacterial SSU rRNA
Rfam family: Bacterial small subunit ribosomal RNA
Source: RNAcentral